GGAGAGGUGGCCGAGUGGUUGAAGGCGCACGCCUGGAACGCGUGUGUAGGUCACAAGCCUACCGAGAGUUCGAAUCUCUCUCUCUCCGCCA
RNAcentral lists this transfer RNA (91 nucleotides) under Bdellovibrio bacteriovorus. RNAcentral describes it as "tRNA-Ser (GGA) (tRNA-Ser-GGA-1-1)". It matches the Rfam family "tRNA". From Rfam's summary of the family: Transfer RNA (tRNA) molecules are approximately 80 nucleotides in length. Their secondary structure includes four short double-helical elements and three loops (D, anti-codon, and T loops). Further hydrogen bonds mediate the characteristic L-shaped molecular structure. tRNAs have two regions of fundamental functional importance: the anti-codon, which is responsible for specific mRNA codon recognition, and the 3' end, to which the tRNAs corresponding amino acid is attached (by aminoacyl-tRNA synthetases). tRNAs cope with the degeneracy of the genetic code in two manners: having more than one tRNA (with a specific anti-codon) for a particular amino acid; and 'wobble' base-pairing, i.e. permitting non-standard base-pairing at the 3rd anti-codon position. The record is from RNAcentral. RNAcentral also lists the same sequence under 10 other names. Lineage: Bacteria; Pseudomonadati; Bdellovibrionota; Bdellovibrionia; Bdellovibrionales; Pseudobdellovibrionaceae.